Parelaphostrongylus tenuis is the source of this 72-nucleotide non-coding RNA. The record is from the annotation of a GenBank genome assembly. Lineage: Eukaryota; Metazoa; Nematoda; Chromadorea; Rhabditida; Metastrongylidae.
GCGUUGGUAGUGUAAUGCUUAACAUACGCUCCCGGAAAGAGUGAGAUCUGGGUUCGAAUCCCGGCUGACGCA